Molecule: long non-coding RNA, 683 nt
Filed under: Setaria viridis
Lineage: Eukaryota; Viridiplantae; Streptophyta; Magnoliopsida; Poales; Poaceae
Description: long non-coding RNA (SVIR_LNC000118)
Source: RNAcentral
GGAUGAGUACCUCUAGAAUGAAGGUCAUCGUUGCCGACGGGACUGCUGGUGGAGCUGCCGCUACUGAUGAAAACGCCGGAGGAGCCUCUAUCGCCGAUGAAGCUGCUGCCACCGCUGCUGGAGCUACCGGCGGGACCUCCAUUGCUGGUGGAGUUCGUGAUGGUGUCGCCAUUGGGGAGAUGAAGCAGAAUGCAGAUGGGAGGGGGAUCACCAGAGAUGCGAUUGGAAGCCAAAAGGGUGCCGGAAGAAGAUGGAAACUAGUGUGCCGGGAAGGAAGUUACUGGUUUGUAAAUAAGAAGUACAAGGCAUGCCAGUAUUUAAAGAUGGUCCGAGAGGGGUAAAGGCGGGAUUUUUACCGUGCCGUCUUCAUGAAUUUCGGGGGGAGUGGUUGUCUCAGGCGCCUGUUUUGAAAAGAUUGCAAUCAUCAGGUAGGAGACCGCGAAACGGAAGGAGAUUCUUGACGUGUUUGUUUCGGAGGAGAAGUUAAAAAGAAUUUCGAAGUAAAAGUUAUGUUUUACUCUGAAACUAGGGGGCAUGUGUUGACGCCAGAUUUUGACACGUAUGGAAUCGGUGUCAAGGGAGGAAAGGGCUGGCCAAUGCGGCAGAUUAAAAGGUCACGAUUGGGAAUCGGCCGAUUGGCGCUACAGUUGGGGAUUGGCCGAUUGGUGCUUCAAUGUUUUGGC